UGGGGAAUAUUGCACAAUGGGCGCAAGCCUGAUGCAGCCAUGCCGCGUGUGUGAAGAAGGCCUUCGGGUUGUAAAGCACUUUCAGCGAGGAGGAAGGUGGUGAGCUUAAUACGCUCAUCAAUUGACGUUACUCGCAGAAGAAGCACCGGCUAACUCCGUGCCAGCAGCCGCGGUAAUACGGAGGGUGCAAGCGUUAAUCGGAAUUACUGGGCGUAAAGCGCACGCAGACGGUUUGUUAAGUCAGAUGUGAAAUCCCCGGGCUCAACCUGUGAACUGCAUUUGAAACUGGCAAGCUAGAGUCUCGUAGAGGGGGGUAGAAUUCCAGGUGUAGCGGUGAAAUGCGUAGAGAUCUGGAGGAAUACCGGUGGCGAAGGCGGCCCCCUGGANGAAGACUGACGCUCAGGUGCGAAAGCGUGGGGGAGCAAAACAGGAUUAGAGUACCCUGGUAGUCCACGCUGUAAACCGAUGUCGAUUUGGAGGUUGUGCCCUUGAGGCGUGGCUUCCGGAGCUAACGCGUUAAAUCGACCGCCUGGGGAGUACGGCCGCAAGGUUAAAACUUAAAUGAAUUGACGGGGUCAUAGCUGUUUCCUG
RNAcentral lists this ribosomal RNA (591 nucleotides) under uncultured bacterium. RNAcentral's name for it is "partial 16S ribosomal RNA". It matches the Rfam family "Bacterial small subunit ribosomal RNA", at positions 355 to 1376 of the family's 1533-position model. The record is from RNAcentral.